Molecule: ribosomal RNA, 253 nt
Filed under: uncultured bacterium
Lineage: Bacteria
Description: partial 16S ribosomal RNA
Rfam family: Bacterial small subunit ribosomal RNA
Source: RNAcentral
UACGAAGGGGGCUAGCGUUGCUCGGAAUCACUGGGCGUAAAGGGCGCGUAGGCGGGUCUUCAAGUUUGGGGUGAAAUCCUCCGGCUCAACCGGAGAACUGCCUCGGAUACUGGGCGUCUCGAGUGUGGUAGGGGUAUGCGGAACUAUCGGUGGAGCGGUGAAAUGCGUUGAUAUCGAUAGGAACUCCGGUGGCGAAGGCGGCAUACUGGACCACCACUGACGCUGAUGCGCGAAAGCCAGGGGAGCAAACGGG